UGGACUCUCGUAAGCAUGAACU
RNAcentral lists this microRNA (22 nucleotides) under Marchantia polymorpha subsp. ruderalis. The record is from RNAcentral. Lineage: Eukaryota; Viridiplantae; Streptophyta; Marchantiopsida; Marchantiales; Marchantiaceae.